Long non-coding RNA from Gallus gallus (chicken), 256 nucleotides. The record is from Ensembl. Lineage: Eukaryota; Metazoa; Chordata; Aves; Galliformes; Phasianidae.
AGACUCGCCAGCAGAAGACGGUGCUCCUAUGUUGCUUCUGCGAAGUGAACAAACCAACUAGCAGAAGAGUUCAAACCCCUGAUGAAAGGGAUUAUGAUUUUUGUGCAUGAUGAUAAGACCAGAAGCCAGACUGACAUCUGCAAAGCCCUACCAACAAAGCUUGUUGCCUUGCCUUCAGAGGUGCACAGCAACCCUCUGGUGAGUGAACUGAACCCCUGUCCAGAGGCAGAAGCACAGGGAAAUUCAAGCAACCAGC